Molecule: long non-coding RNA, 1109 nt
Filed under: Piliocolobus tephrosceles (Ugandan red Colobus)
Lineage: Eukaryota; Metazoa; Chordata; Mammalia; Primates; Cercopithecidae
Description: lncRNA (ENSPTEG00000001369.1)
Source: RNAcentral
GGGUAUUUAUAUAUGUGUAUUUUUUUUGUUUUGUUUAUGUUUUAUUAACAUUUUAAAAAAAAAAAGAAAAAUUAAGAUUAAUUCUUAUUUAUACAAACGGUGGUAAAUCACAUUUUGUUCAAUUUUAUUAUUUAUAAAACAAAGCGUACAUUAACAAUACAUAUGAUGCAUAUAUGAAUAUAGUGUCCAUAUAAACCUUACAUACAUACAUAUAUAUAUAAUAUUGAACACAUUUUUAAAAAAAUUAUUAUAAUACUUAUAUAUCUUAAUUCAACAUGCCUGAUAGCAUAAAAAGUGAAGAAAAAUUAGAAAACGAAAUUAGGGUAUCCUAUAAAAUCGAGACCUUAUAUUAUGUACAUAAAGCUGCUCUGUUGUUGUUGAAUCAUGAUGAAAUAAUAUUGUCGGGUGUUGGUAAGGCUAUUACGUCAGUUGUUCAGGUUGUUGAAAUGCUUAAAAGAAGAGCAAAAGGAUUACAUCAAUUUACGAAGCUUUACGAAAAGGAACACACUAUUAAAAGAGAAGACACCAGCGGUUUAAAACGUAACCCAAAAAGGGAAGAUAACGUGUCGAAUAAUAGAGAAGCAAAUGACAAGGAUAAGGAACCGUAUAAGAGAAUUAUAGAAUAUACUACUGUUGUACCAUGCAUAAAAAUAACUUUAACAAAAAAUGAAAAAAACAUUAAGAAAGAUGUGGUAGGUUAUCAAAAACCACUAGAUGAUAAGUAUGUAAACCCAUUGACACCUGAUGAAAUAUUAAAGGAAAGGGACAUUCAAAAGUGUAAGAUACAUAUAUAUUUAUGUAAUAAAGGUGGAAUUUUAUAUAUAUAUUUUACAUACGCACACAUGUUUAUGUAUACACGAUUUUUAAUUAUAUAUGUGAUGUAUUUUACCAUUUUAUGUCUACAAUUUUAUGUUUAUAUUUUUAUGUUUAUGUUUUCACUCUUAUCCAUUUGACAUUAACAGACCGAAGAGGAAGAGGAAAAGGAAAUGGUAGGUACAGAACAUCAUAUAGGAGAAAUUAUUAUGAUAAUUACACGUGGAAUAAUAGAAGAUAUUAAAGAAAUUAACAUUGUAAAAAAAAAAAUAUAUAUAUAUAUAUAUAUAUAAUUU